Molecule: long non-coding RNA, 764 nt
Filed under: Cricetulus griseus (Chinese hamster)
Lineage: Eukaryota; Metazoa; Chordata; Mammalia; Rodentia; Cricetidae
Description: lncRNA (ENSCGRG00015038975.1)
Source: RNAcentral
CACAUAUAUAAUCAGGAUGACUUACAGGCUGCAGUCCAACAAUGGCUGGCUGUGAAUAGAAAGUCCAAGCAUCCAGUAGUUGCUUACUCCCACGAGGCUGGGUGUCCCAGCUGGUCUGUAUCUGCUGAAACCCGGAAGGAGGAGGCUCUAAUUCGGGUGAAGGAAUGGAAGUGCUGACAAGGGCAUCAAGGCUGCCGGGAGAUGAAGCCCACUUAUCCCACAUGCUGCCCAGAGUAAAACACAUACAAUUGGUGAUUGGUGUGUCAUCUCCUAAUGCACUCACUGAAGUACGCAUACCUUCACGGGGGGAACCUGCAUUAAGUUAUUACCAAAUGAGCCUUCAUCUAGUAGCUGAUGGAAGCAGAAGCAGACACCCACAGCUAAGCUCUGAGCUGAACUCCUGGAAUCCAGAUGUAGAGAGGGAGGAGGAAUGCUGAGCAAAGGGGUCAAGACCUGGCUGGAGAAACCCACAGAAACAGCUGACCUUAACAAGGGGGAGCUCGUGGACCCCAGACUGAUAUCUGGGAAACCAGCAUAGGACCGAUCCCGGCCCCUUGAACGUGGGUGUCAGCGAGGAUCCCUGGGCAGUCUAUGAGGCCCCUGGUAGUGGAUCAGUAUUUAUCCCUAGUAUAAGAAUGGACUUUGGGAGCCCAUUCCACAUAGAGGGAUACUGUCUCAGCCUAGAUACACGGGGGAGGGCCUAGGCGCUGCUCCAAAUGAAAUGACAGACUUUGAAGAUUCCCCCAUGGAAGGCCUCACUCUCC